UGCGAGUCGAGAGGGUUCAGACCCUCGGCGGACUGCUCAGUAACACGUGGAUAACCUGCCCUAAGGUGGAGCAUAACCCCGGGAAACUGGGGAUAAUACUCCAUAGAUUAGAGACACUGGAAUGUUCUUUAGUCGAAAGUUCUGGCGCCUUAGGAUGGAUCUGCGGUCGAUUAGGUUGUUGUUGGGGUAACGGCCCAACAAGCCUGUAAUCGAUACGGGUUGUGGGAGCAAGAGCCCGGAGAUGGAAUCUGAGACACGAUUCCAGGCCCUACGGGGCGCAGCAGGCGCGAAAACUUUACAAUGCAGGAAACUGUGAUAAGGGAACUCCGAGUGCCCGUAUACGCGGGCUGUCCAGGUGUUUAAAAAUCAUCUGAAGAAAGGGCCGGGCAAGACCGGUGCCAGCCGCCGCGGUAAUACCGGCGGCUCGAGUGGUGGCCACUAUUAUUGGGCUUAAAGCGUCCGUAGCUGGACCGAUAAGUCUCUUGGGAAAUCCGCCGGCUCAACCGGCGGGCGUCUAAGGGAUACUGUUAGUCUGGGGACCGGGAGAGGUGAGAGGUACUCCGGGGGUAGGAGUGAAAUCCUGUAAUCCCCGGGGGACCACCGAUGGCGAA
This 611-nucleotide ribosomal RNA is filed under the name uncultured archaeon. RNAcentral's name for it is "bacterial SSU rRNA". It matches the Rfam family "Archaeal small subunit ribosomal RNA", at positions 52 to 670 of the family's 1478-position model. The record is from RNAcentral.